Molecule: ribosomal RNA, 936 nt
Filed under: Frankliniella occidentalis (western flower thrips)
Lineage: Eukaryota; Metazoa; Arthropoda; Insecta; Thysanoptera; Thripidae
Description: partial large subunit ribosomal RNA
Rfam family: Eukaryotic large subunit ribosomal RNA
Source: RNAcentral
CGGUUCGGGUCAUAGGGCGUCACUCGUCCUGGGGGUAUCUGUCUGGUGCGGUGGGCUGCACUUCUCGCCUAGUAGGACGUCGCGACCCGUUGGGAUGUUCCGUUCACUGGCCCCUGGUGGAGCCCGCGCCGGAGCGUGGCCUUGUGCCGCGUUGCUGUUUGCACGGACCCGGGGUGACCUGAUCGGCGCCCGACGGUAUCAAAGCUUGGGAAGAGGCCGCACAGAGGAUGCGUUCGAUGGCCGUUUCGGCCUACACUCGGACAGGCCUGCACCCGGUCAGCGGCGCUUCUGCUUUCGAUACUCGUCCGACCCGUCUUGAAACACGGACCAAGGAGUCUAACAUGUGCGCGAGUCAUUGGGCUCUGCGAAACCUAAAGGCGAAAUGAAAGUGAAGGCCACGCACUUGUGCUGGUGCUUAGGGGUGAUGGUCGUUCCUACACGGGCGGCCCGCAACCCCGGGGCGUCUCGUUCUCUUUGAGAAGUGGCGCACCCAGAGCGUACACGUUGGGACCCGAAAGAUGGUGAACUAUGCCUGGCCAGGACGAAGUCAGGGGAAACCCUGAUGGAGGUCCGUAGCGAUUCUGACGUGCAAAUCGAUCGUCGGAGCUGGGUAUAGGGGCGAAAGACUAAUCGAACCAUCUAGUAGCUGGUUCCCUCCGAAGUUUCCCUCAGGAUAGCUGGCGCUCAUAUAGAGUUUCAUCCGGUAAAGCGAAUGAUUAGAGGCCUUGGGGCCGAAACGACCUCAACCUAUUCUCAAACUUUAAAUGGGUGAGAACUCCGGCUUGCUUAGGUGAAGCCGCGAGACUCACGAAUCAGAGUGCCAAGUGGGCCAAUUUUGGUAAGCAGAACGGCGCUGUGGGAUGAACCAAACGCCGAGUUAAAGCGCCUAAAUCGACGCUCAUUGGAAACCAUGAAAGGCGUUGGUUGCUAAGACAG